This 7909-nucleotide long non-coding RNA is filed under the name Manihot esculenta (cassava). RNAcentral describes it as "long non-coding RNA (MESC_LNC010245)". Lineage: Eukaryota; Viridiplantae; Streptophyta; Magnoliopsida; Malpighiales; Euphorbiaceae. The record is from RNAcentral.
AGCAGGAGCAGGUUGUUUCUCUAAAAUAGAUCUGAGAUCCGGAUAUCAUCAGUUGAGAAUCAGAGAGGAAGAUGUGCCGAAGACGACGUUCAGGACCAGAUAUGGGCAUUAUGUGUUCCUAGUGAUGCCAUUCGGGCUAACCAAUGCCCUUGUAGCAUUCAUGGACCUUAUGAACAGAGUUUUUAGCUAGUAUCUGGACCACUUUGUUAUUGUCUUCUUUGAUGAUAUCUUAGUGUAUUCCAAAAAUGCAAAUGAGCAUGCCAUCAUCUGAGGAUAGUUUUGCAGACCCUGAAGGAGCAUGGCUUGUAUGCCAAGUUCUCCAAAUGUGAGUUCUGGUUGAGGAGCAUUUCUUUCUUGGGACAUGUUGUGUUAGAAAAAGGAAUUGAAGUGGAUCCCAAGAAGGUAGAAGCCGUAGCUAACUGGCCUAGACCCACUACAGUUACAGAGAUCAAAAGCUUUUUGGGUUUGGCAGGUUACUACAGGAGGUUCGUCCAGGACUUCUCAAAAAUUGCCGCUCCUAUGACCAGGCUGACCAAAAAGAAUCAGAGGUUUGUUUGGUCAGAUCACUAUGAGGAAAGUUUUGAAGAGCUGAAGAAAAGGUUAACGUCGGCACCGGUGCUAUGCCUACUAGUGAUGAAGAUUUCACAGUGUUUUGUGAUACAUCCCGUGUGGGACUAGGUUGCGUGUUGAUGCAGAAUGAGAGGGUAAUUGCUUAUGCUUCUAGGCAGCUGAAGAAGUAUGAAUUGAAUUAUCCUACACAUAUCUAGAGAUGGCAGCUGUGAUCUUUGCACUUAAGAUGUGGAGGAAUUACCUGUAUGGGGCAAGAUGUGAGAUCUUUACAGAUCAUAAGAGUUUGCAAUACAUCUUGAGUCAGAGAGAGUUGAACUUGAGGCAGAGGAGAUGGGUAGAACUGCUUAGUGACUAUGAUUGCAAAAUUCAGUACCAUCCGGGUAAGGUAAAUGUUGUGGCAGAUGCCCUAAGCCGGAAAUCAUUUGGCAGUUUAUCCCAUGUUACAGUAGAGAGAAGACCGGUGGUGAGAAAAUUCAUUAAUGAAGGGCUGCAGUUGGAGCUGUCUGGUACAGGUGCUUUGAUAGCUCAGAUGAGAGUGACACCCGUAUUUCUGGAGCAGGUGGUUCAGAAACAGCACGAGGACCCUGAGUUGGUGAAGAUAGCCAGAGCAGUUCAAGCAUGCAAGAAUGAUGAGUUCAGAUUUGACAACAAAUGGAUCCUCCGUUACGGGAACAGGUUAUGUAUACCAAAUGACGUGAGUUUGAAGAGGGACAUUAUGAGAGAAGCUCAUAAUGCCAGAUACAGCGUUCGCCCUGGAGCCACCAAGAUGUAUCAAGAUCUGAAAAGAGUCUAUUGGUGGCCAGCUAUGAAAAGAGAAGUGGCACAGUUCGUGUCCGCCUGUGAAAUAUGUCAGAGGGUAAAGCUGGAACAUCAGAAGCUGGCUGGAAUGCUUAACCCACUGCCGAUUCCAGAGUAGAAAUGGGAGAAUAUAGCUAUGGAUUUCAUGGUGGGGUUACCGGCAACGUCUAACAGACUAGAUUCCAUAUGGGUGAUUGUGGACAGACUGACCAAAUCUGCUCACUUCAUCCCUGUCAGGAGUGGCUAUUCUGUGGACAAAUUGGCGCAAGUGUAUGUGGAAGAGCUUGUGAGGUUGCAUGGGGCUCCAGAUUCAAUUGUUUCAGAUAGGGGACCCCAGUUCACCUCUAGGUUUUGGCGCAGUCUGCAAAAUGCUAUGGGCACAAGACUAGACUUUAGCACUGCUUUCCAUCCUCAGACUGACGGACAGUCAGAGAGGACCAUCCAGACUAUAGAAGAUAUGCUCAGAAUGUGUGUGCUAGAUUUUGGCGGUUCUUGGAGGCAACAUCUGUAAUACCCGGCUAGACGCCGGCAUUGGAAUUCUUCUUUUUGGCGGAUUUUCCGUUGGAAUCUAGAAUUCGAGGAUGUCAGAGGCUUCUAGAAGGGAUAAAAGAUUAUUUUUUCAAAAUGUUUUAAGUGUUUCUAUGGUCAUGAGUGAACGGAAGUGGAUUGUGGAGAAGGAAAAGACCAAGGGGACACAAUGCAAGUUCGGCCGCCGAAGGGCAAGUUCGGCCGCCGAACAUUGCAGGGUUUCGCCCGCCGAAGGGCAAGUUCGGAUCUGGAGGGACCUUCGGCCGCCGAACCUGCCGCCGAAAGUCCCCUGCCCAGCCUUCCUUUGCCUAUUUUGCAUGCAUGUUUUAUGAUGUUUUAGGGGGUUUUUGGAGUGAUGUUUAGAGUCAUGUUAGAGUAUGUUUGGUCCCUCAUUUGAGUCCACCUGUGUAGGAUCGGACCUAAGGAACCGAGGUGACCAGCAGUGAGAUAGCUGAUUCAGAGUCAGUUGAGUAUCAGCCAGAGGUGAGUAGAACACAAUUCUUUUAUUUCAAAGCAAUUAAACUUUUAAGCAUGUUCAUGCAUCAUGAAUGCCAUGUACGUAAUAGGUUGUAUUGCAUUAGAAUUCACGAAUAUGACGCAUUGCAUAAUAUGAUGUUGAUGUGGAUGGAUGUUGGAUGACCCAUUGGCCCUUGAUAUGAUAUAAUAUGGUAUGGAAGUCCAGAUCGAGGCCCAUUCUAUGCUCCUGGCACAGUUGGAUAUGUUAUGUUAUGAUAUGUUAAGCGAAAGUUCUGAGGAGCUUCCGUUGUGGGCCGGACACAUUGGAUUAUGUAGAGGGCCAUUGGUGACAAGUCCAUCCUUGAUGUGAAUUGUUUGUGAUGUGAUGCAUUUCAUGAAAGCAUAUGUUUAAUGAACUGUUUUUACUGUUCUGCUCACUGGGUUUUAGUAGCUCACCCCUUUCCCCUAAUCCCCAGGUUUGCAGGGCCAGAGAUAGCUUAGGAAGUCAGCAAGAGUAAGGGUUAUGUUUAUGUAAUAGAUUAGUAGUGGACAUGUAAUGUAAAAUAACGUAACGUAAUGUAAAGUAGAGUGAUAUUUUAUGGAUUAGUAUUGUGCUUGGCCCUAACAUUAGUGGAAAUCCCUUUUUACAUGAUCUGUAUGUAAUGUUUUUAAUGAUGUUAUCUGAUGAACCAAGCUUGAUAUAUGAAAUGUGGACCCAACUAGAGCAUUUGAUGAGGGCUCUAGUAUGGGAUUUUAUGGUUACAGUUAUGGUGCAUGCACAGGUCAAGCUUGAUAUAUGAAAAGUUUAAAAUUUUUAUGAAAAUGUAUGAUCAUGUAUGGGAUUUAUCAGGUAUGACAGGAUGUAUAUUAGACUUGCUACGGGUUCCGGCGACCUUAAGUCGAUCUGAAUCCUAGCGCCGGUAGCGGUCCGGUUUCCGGGUCGUUACACCCAAAGCCCAUUAAUAUAAUUAAUAAUAAUAAAGUGUUAUUAUUAUUAAUAUUAAUAUAAUUAAUAAUAAAAAAGUGUUAUUAUUAUUAAUAUUAAUUAAUAAUAAUAAAGUGUUAUUAUUAUUAAUUAUUUAUUAUUAUGAGAUAAUAAUAUUUAAAAGAUCCGCAGUCUAUCUGUAACUGUUACAGAUAAAGGACUCUAUCACAUAAGAUAUUUGAGUAUCUGUGAGAUUGUGAUAGUGGGUUAUGAACACAACUCCUUUUAGGAAAAGGAGUUGUGGGAAAAACAAAAGACUGAAACAUAUAAAUACUCCUUCUAUGAAUUGAGGAAUGAUGAUGUUAAUUUUUGAGAAAAAUUCAGUCUAACUAUUGCAGAUUGUGGAGCACAUAAUCUAUCCAUCUUUGAGAGAGCUAGCACUCUAGAAGGAUAGAAGAUGUUCGUGUGGAUACCAUAGAGGGUGUUCGUUUGAAAAAGCAGCACCAUCAGUCCGGCAUUGUAUCUUCUUGACGAGAUUAACAGGUUAGUCUCAUAUCCUUCUUAUGAAAUAAACGAAGCACUCGGAUUCUGGGAAAAAGGAAUCAGAGAAAUUUUAUUUUUCUGCUGCGCCUUUGGGUUCCAAUAAUCUCUGGAUUUCCCAACAGUAUAGCUAUGUCUACCUUACGAAACAUAAACAUGAAUCACUUGAAAUGUUUAGAACUUUUCAAAAUAAAGUACAAAAUCAACUUGGUAAAACUAUUAAAAUGCUUCGAUUUGAUCGAGGUGGUGAAUAUUUGAGCCAAGAGUUUGAUGAACAUCUUAGAAAUUGUGGAAUUGUUUCACAAUUAACUCCUUCAGGAACUCCACAAUGGAAUGGUGUUUCUGAAAGGAGAAAUCGAACUUUAUUAGAUAUGGUUCGAUCUAUGAUGAGUCAAACAAAUCUGCCUUUAUCAUUUUGGGGUUAUGCCUUGGAAACAGCUGCAUUCAUUUUAAACCGAGUACCAUCGAAAGCAGUUGAAAAGACACCAUAUGAGUUAUGGACUGGCAAAAUGCCCAGUUUGUCUUUUCUUAAGAUUUAGGGUUGUGAGGUGAUAGAGCAUAUUUUAGUCCAUAUUAUCAUGAUUUUAUUGAUGUUUAUUUACACAUUUCCUACCUAAUUUUGUGGUUUUAAUCAUGUUUUGAAGAUAUUAGGUGUAAAGAGACAUUAUGGAGAAAAUGCUCUUAAAAUUGCCAAAAAGUGCCAAAACUGGAAAAAUCACCUUCGGAAGCACUUUCGGAAGCCGAAAGUCUCGUCCAGAGCCGAAAGUCACCCACCUUCGGAAGCACUUUCGGAAGCCGAAAGUCUCGUCCAGAGCCGAAAGUCACCCAUCUUCGGCAGCACCUUCGGGGUGCCGAAAGUUUGCUCCAGAGCCGAAAGUCCAUCCUCUGAAACUAAGCUUAGGCGGCCGAAAGUCCCCCCGAAUUGCUUCUUCCUUAUUCAAGAAGCCAAAUCUUGGAGAUCACAUGUUUUCCACUUCAUGCCAUGCACAUUCAAAAUUCAAAAGGAGACUCCACCUUCCUCUUUAGUGCAUGGGUGGCAACAAUAAUGUGAAGGAAACUUCUUGGACACACUUGGGCAACAAUUAAAAGACCAAAAAGUCCUUGCAACACACAUAGAAGGCACAUAUAAGACCAAGGGCAUUUUGGACAGCCUCUAAAAGUUGCAUGGACACCUAAGAAACCCUAGGCAAUCUCCCAAGACCUAUUUAAAGGUCUCAUGAAGACAAGAAGUGGCAGACUUGAAGAACUAAAACACCACCAAGGUUCGGCAGCCGCUCCUCCUCCACCUUCGGCCACUGGUUCCUCCUUCCUUCUUCUCUUCUUCUAUUUUCUGUUUUGGUUCAGCCAUGAGUGGCUGAAACCCUUAAUUCUAGUUGAAGUUUGGUUGAAACUAAGGUUGUUUAAAGGGUUGUGAGAUCUGAACAUAAAGUGUUUGCUUUUGAUUAGUUCAAUAUUCAUACAAUUGUGUGCUUAAUUCUAAGAUUGCUUUGUUGUUUUGAUCAAAUUGGCCACUUGAUUCUUGAUUACAAAGUUAAUUGAUUGUUAGUUGGGAUAUUUGUUAGUCCGUAAUUGCUGGAAAUAUUCUGACCAAAGAACACUUGGUGUAAAAACUAAGGAAUUGUAUGAUCUAGCAACAUCUCAUGCGUUUGAGUAGCUAGGGUUGGAUCUCUCUCAUUCUUUAUGCAAUUGACAAUUGUUUUGAUGCCUAAGGCCCAAGGACAUUCCUUGGCAAUUUGUUAAUUAGUAAUUGAUUAGAGGACGUUCCCUAAUUGAUUUAAUCAUAAGGAGAGACAUGGUGGUGAGAAGCGUUUUCCACACCCAUAACUAAUCUAUUGAACCAAUCAGGGAACAUAAGUUUCAAUUAUCAACCCAAACAACCAAAGUGGAUCCAUAUCUUCAACUAGACUUUUCGCAUAUUGAUUUCCUCUUUUAUUUUGAUUACUUACUGUUUUAAUUGCUUUCAAUAGUUAUUAGUCAAAUCAAUCUAAAAACCCCCCUUUUUACUUUAUUGCACUUUACUUUUAUUCUGCUUUCAGUUACUUGCUUUCAGUUGUGCUUUCAAAUGAUUCUCUUGAUCUUGUUGAAGAAAUAGACAAGUACUCAAUUCUCUAUGGAUUCUGUAACGACCCGGAAUCCGGACCGCUACUGGCGCUAGGAUCCAGAUCGGCUUAAGGACACCGGGACCCGUAGCCAGCCUAACAUACAUCCUGUAUAGCUGUAUAAUCCCAUACAUGAUCGACAAUUACAUAAAAAAUUUAAAACUUUCUCAUUUAAUCAUUCAUUCAUUCACCAAGCUUAACCUGAGCAUGCACAAUUCAUAACAUAAAACCUCUCACUGGAGUCCUCAUCAAAUACUCCAAUGGGGUAACAUAACAUACAUUAAGCUUGGUUUACAAUAAUCAUCAACAAACAUUUAAGAUCAUGUACAAAAAGGGGAUUAACAAUAUACUAUGGUCAAGCACAACUCUAACUUCAAUAAGCAUCAUUACAUUACAUUUCUAUACUAUACUUUUACAUUACAUCAUAUUCAUGUCCACAUCUAGCUAUUACAUAAAACAUGAUUCUACUCCUGCUGACCUCCUGGUCUACCCUGUACCUGCAAACCUGGGGGGUUAAGGGAGAGGGGUGAGCUAUAAAGCCCAGUGAGCAGAAUAAAUAAACAUUCAAUUUAAAUUUCAUUCUUUCAUGAAAUGCAACACAUCACAAACAAAUCACAUCAAGGAUGAACUUGUCACCAAUAGCCCACUACACAUUCCAAUAGUGCUAGGGGCGUAGACUAGGCCUCACUGGUCUUUCUCUUACAUUACAUAACAUAACAUUCCAAUAUGCCAGGGGCGUAGAAUGGGCCUCACUGGUCUUUCUCUUACAUAGUGCCAGGGGCGUAGAAUGGGCCUCACUGGUCUUCCAUACCAUACCAUAUCAUAUCAUAGUGCGGGCUAAAGGAUCAUCCAACAUUCAUCCACAUUAGCAACAUAAUAUGUAAUGCAACAUAUUCGUGAGUUCUAAUGCAAGCACCCUAGUAUAUCUCAUGGCAUUCAUGAUGCGUAAAUCAUGUUAAGAACUGAUUUAUUUGCUUAAAAGCCUAAAGAGUUAUUCCACUCACCUCUGGCUGAAGCUCUAAUGACUCUGAAGCAGCUAUCUCACUGCUGAGGUCCUUGGUUCCUCGGGUCCGAACCUACACAGGUGGACUCAAAUGAGGUACCAAAUAAAGACUAACAUAACUCUGAAUUGCUCCCCAAAAACCCCCUAAAACAUCUUAGAACAACCAUAGAAAUCAUGCAAAGAAAGGCUGAACAGGGCACUUUCGGCGGCAGGUUCGGCGGCCGAAAGUCCCUCCAGAGCCGAAACUCAGCCACUUUCGGUAUUGAACUUGUCCCUUCCUAAGGAACCUGCCCGAUUAGAACUAUUCCCGAAACUCCAAUUCUUUCGCUCGACCCCUCCAGUUGAGAAGUUGGGCCGAGUCGCUCCCCCACUUUGUGGCUUAUUCCACUUGUUAGGUCGGCUAUCCUGGGAACCAGACGAAUCAAUUUUUCUUUUUGAAGAUGGAGGGGCAUAAUCAUUUAGACUUUCCGCUGCUGCAAUGGCUGCGUCCACACUCUUGACUUUUUGCCUCAUCAAGCUAGUCGGCCCCAAGGUUUCAAAUGUGGUAUCAGAGCCAAGGUGGGCUUCCGCAUGGCAUGGUUGCCAUCCCGCCUGAAGAUCCUGGAAGAACAGAGGAGAAGAGGAGUUGUCUUUCCUGGUGUGGAGAACCAGCAGAGUGACUGCGCGUAGUUGAGUUGAGCUUCCUUGGUGGAGGGGAGCAAGGAUUGAUGCUGCGCGUACUGAGGUGCUAUAUCGGACUCACUAGGUGAAGGUGGUGUCCAGAGCAAGUAUUGCGGGGCAACUGAGUGAGCGAGGAUAGGGGUCCUCGGGUGCCUCAACGGGUGGGGCAAGGCAAGGUGAAGCCUGCGUUCCGACGGGAUAGGGACGUCCCCAUUGGCUCGUUGCGCUCGUAGCUUGGGUGAAAAAGCGUCACUUCGGAGAAACAAUGCUGGAAUCAAGUACUUAAUUGAAGGCAUGCUCGAGGGCGAGCAUGGAUUGAGUGGGGGAGAU